GACGAACGCUGGCGGCGUGCUUAACACAUGCAAGUCGAACGGAAAGGUCCUGCUUUUGUGCGGUGCUCGAGUGGCGAACGGGUGAGUAACACGUGAGUAACCUGUCCCUCACUUUGGGAUAUCUUCAGGAAACUGGGGCUAUUACCGGAUAGGAGCUCCCGCUGCUUGGUGGGGGUUGGAAAGUUUCGGUGGUUGGGGAUGGACUCGCGGCUCAUCAGCUUGUUGGUGGGGUAGUGGCUUACCAAGGCUUUGACGGGUAGCCGGGCUGAGAGGGGGACCGGCCACGUUACACCUGGAAUACGACACGGACUCCUACGGGAGGCAACGGAGCAGAGUGUAACACUGUGGACUGAGGGCUAGUGCAACAAAGCCACGUGGGGGGUGUCAUCCUUCUGGUUGUAUUCCACAUUCGCCUGAGACGAGACGUGAAUGACGGUAAUGGGUGAAGAAGCACCGGCUAACUACGUG
Molecule: ribosomal RNA, 468 nt
Filed under: uncultured bacterium
Lineage: Bacteria
Description: partial 16S ribosomal RNA
Rfam family: Bacterial small subunit ribosomal RNA
Source: RNAcentral